CUCAUUAAAAGAGUGCGUAAUAGCUCACUGGUCGAGUGACCCUGCGCCGAAAAUUCAACGGGGCUAAACAAUGUACCGAAGCUUGGGAUUCUAAAGUAAUUUAGAGUGGUAGGAGAGCGUCGAAUAAGGGGUGAAGUCAGAGCGGAAGCGCUGGUGGACUUUAUUCGAGUGAGAAUGCCGGAAUGAGUAGCGAGAAUUAUGUGAGAAUCAUAAUGGCCGAAAAUCUAAGGUUUCCUGAGGAAGGUUCGUCCGCUCAGGGUAAGCCGGGGGCUAAGGCGAGGCGGAGACGCGUAGCCGAUGCACAUACGGUUGAAAUUCCGUAGCCACCGAAAGAUUUAAGUACAGGGACGCUUUAGAAGUGAUGUAGCCGGGCGAUGGUUGACCCGGUCGUAAGGGAUCGAAAAUGAGUAGAGAAGUCAUCAUGGAAAGAGACAAGAAAAGCUGUAUGUAUAUCUUAGGUGCCCGUACCGCAAACCGACACAGGUAGAUAGGAAGAAGAUUCUAAGGCCAACGGGAGAAGGGUUGUUAAGGAACUCGGCAAGUUGACCCCGUAACUUAGGGAUAAGGGGUGCUCAAGUGAUUGAGCCGCAGAGAAUAGGCCCAGGCGACUGUUUAGCAAAAACACAGGUCUCUGCUAAAUCGAAAGAUGACGUAUAGGGGCUGACACCUGCCCGGUGCCGGAAGGUUAAGAGGAGAUGUGAGAGCAUUGAAUUGAAGCCCCGGUAAACGGCGGCCGUAACUAUAACGGUCCUAAGGUAGCGAAAUUCCUUGUCAGGUAAGUUCUGACCCGCACGAAAGGCGUAAUGAUUUGGGCACUGUCUCAACAGCCCGCCCGGCGAAAUUGUAGUACCGGUGAAGAUGCCGGUUACCCGCGACUAGACGGAAAGACCCCAUGGAGCUUUACUGUAGCCUAAUAUUGGAUUUCGGUAUUUCACGUACAGGAUAGGUGGGAGACUGGGAAGCACAGGCGUCAGCUUGUGUGGAGUCGACCUUGGGAUACCACUCUUGGAGUGCUGGAAUUCUAACCUGCGGCUUUGAAGCAAGUCGGGGGACAUUGUUAGGUGGGCAGUUUGACUGGGGCGGUCGCCUCCUAAAGAGUAACGGAGGCGCUCAAAGGUUCGCUCUGCAUGGAUGGAAACCAUGCGUCAGAGUGUAAACGCAAAAGCGAGCCUAACUGCGAGAAUGACGGUUCGAGCAGUAACGAAAGUUGGAGUUAGUGAUCCGGCGGUAUGUGAAUGGAAAUGCCGUCGCUCAACGGAUAAAAGCUACCCUGGGGAUAACAGGCUGAUCUCCCCCAAGAGUCCACAUCGACGGGGAGGUUUGGCACCUCGAUGUCGGCUCAUCGCAUCCUGGGGCUGAAUUCGGUCCCAAGGGUUUGGCUGUUCGCCAAUUAAAGCGGUACGCGAGCUGGGUUCAGAACGUCGUGAGACAGUUCGGUCCCUAUCUGUCGUGGGCGUAGGAUAUUUGCAAGGAGCUGUCCCUAGUACGAGAGGACCGGGAUGGACGCACCUCUGGUGCACCAGUUGUCACGCCAGUGGCACAGCUGGGCAGCUAUGUGCGGAACGGAUAAACGCUGAAGGCAUCUAAGCGUGAAGCCGCCCUUAAGAUAAGAUAUCCCUUCUGUUUACAGAGUAAGACCCCUUGAAGACUACAAGGUUGAUAGGCUCAAAGUGUAAGCACGGUGACGUGUUUAGCUAGCGAGUACUAAUCGGUCGAGGGCUUAACCUU
Molecule: ribosomal RNA, 1728 nt
Filed under: metagenome
Description: bacterial LSU rRNA
Rfam family: Bacterial large subunit ribosomal RNA
Source: RNAcentral